UAAGUCAGACGGAGAAAAAUAUUCGGGUCCCUCAAGCAGAAGCUCUAAAUGGAGUCUGUUUGUCACCAGGUUUUCUCAAUGAGUAAAUGGAGAGGCAAUACCUAGAGCUGUCACAGGCAUCCUGCAGCCUUGAGGAUGAAAUUCACAUGCCGAGCAUGAAGGAGCCUGAACAUGGGAGCCUGGAGCCCCAACGACAUUGUUGAGACAGUGUUCCAGUUCUCUGGCACCUUCCUCUCAACUUUGCCAGAAACCCUGCAAGCCCCUCAGGAGCCUAUUCUGCUCAUCUGAACACCUAACUGCCAACUUUCUGAAGCAGCCCAGCUUCCCAGAACUGAAGUCACCAAGCCAAGACGAAGAGAACGCUGGGACCUGGAGGGAGACGUAUCUUAAAAGAAAUAAGAAUGAAGCUCAAAAAUUCAUCUCAAACAUGAAAAAAUGAAAUAUUGCAGUUACAGUUUCUAAUGCAAAGAUUUUUUUAAAGGUGAAAAAACUGAGGGGCAGAGGAAAGUAGAGACAAAAAGAAAUGGGCAAAGACACACCCAGAGUGCCAGCCUUGACCGUGACUUAUAUGGAGUCACAGCCCUGAAGUUUGGCUUUUUAAGAUAUAAAGGUGUGGCUAGGUUUUCACAAACAUAAGCAGAAAUAUGGGCAAUACGUUUCCUGGGACCUGGUGACACUGAGGAUAAAAUUCAGGCCAGAACCAGAGGUCUCUUAGCCUUGGUGGAAAACAAGGGAGAUAAAUUAUUUAGGUAGAGGAACACUGAACUUCCAGAACUAAGCUACUGCCCCGGCUUCAGCGCCCUCUUGAGAGUGAUGAGCCCACAGAAUAAAAGUGGAAGAGAAAGCCUGGGAGAGAAAACCAAAGUUGAAUUCCUUUCACAGCACCAGAGAAUCACCUGGGAAGCUGGGGACCUGGGAGGCCAGGCCCCACCCCAAACCAACUCCCAGACAUCAGUGCUUAAGGCCUCGAGCCACAGUUCAGACACCCGGGUUGGGAGCUGGAUCUCCAAAGACUGAUCUAGGAAAGGAAGAUGCCCUGAAAUAACUGAAAUGAGAUGGGGGCUGGCCAAGCGCCAUUGCCUCCCAGAAAAGAGCCGGAGAACCACAGCCAGGAGGGACUCCAGACGACAGAACAACGCAGGGCGUGUGGUCAAGACGCUCUCUGGUUGCACCUCCGUGGGACUUGGCUGGACCUUUCAAUUAGAUGAAGUUUCCCUGGACUGGGAGAGGAGGCGAAGAGUCAGAGGGAAGCCAAAGAGCUACAAAUCUGGAAGGUGCUAAGAGGAGGUCUGAGCUACAGAAUGUAAGUAAUUUACUUUAUGUCAAAAGUGGACCAUACUGUACUUGCUCUUGUAUAUUGUACUCAGUAAUAUGGCAUGAACAACAUUAUAGGUCAAAAAAUAAUUCUUCUAAAAUAUGAUUUUUCAUUGCUAAUAGCAUUCCACCAUGUGAGCUAGUUUAAAGGUUUAGAAAACCUUCACAUUUCUCCUUCCAACCUGAGGCAUAAUCAGUCUCAAUUAUUUCAGUUUUUAAGUCUUGAUUAAAAGAACUUCUCCUUAUUGGAAAGACUCCUAGGCUAGGUGGACCCUAACAAACUAUUGUAGUCAAGAUCUGGGGACAAAUUCCUCUGUGGCUUAGCAGGUUAAGGACCCGGCGCUGUCACUGGUGAGGCUCUGGUCAUUGAUGUGGCGUAUGUUCGAUCUCUGGCCUGGGAACGUCCGUGUCUUGUGAGUGUGGCCACAAAGAAAAAAAAAGAAACCUAGUGACCAGAGUUGGCAAAAUCAAAUUAGCUUCUCUUUCUGAAAACUGUGUAAUGAAGCCAGUCAUAUUUCAUUCUAGUUGGCCAUUCUAGAGCAACACUGAUUCACUUCCUUACAAGGAGAGCUUUAGGGAGAGAGGACAGUAGUUUCAGGGAGCCUCCCUAAUGUGUGUCUUAAAUAAUAGCAGAAUCCAGCUGUCUGCCCAUCCUUAGCUCUGUGUUCAUGCAGCCUAUGACCAUGAGGGAGGGGUAUGCCUUUUGGCUGCAGGCUGGCUCUGGGCUUUCCUCAGCCUAUGAACAGAAAGUAAUAAAUGGGCCAACUCGGAAAGGCAUGGGGAAGACUGCUGUGUGCCUAUGAAGGGAGGACUCCUAACAUGGACAGAGAUACCAGUGUCCAAAGAGCCCUAAUCCCACCGUGGUACCUGCAGUGCCAUCAGCAGCCACUGAAAUUGAGCUUGGGAGUGGAGGUCUCAGAGUUUAUCAAAUAUCUUUCCUUGGGAUGCUGGUUUUAGUCACUUCCUAUUUCUUUUGAGAACUUCCAUUUGCCACAAAUCAAAGCUCCUCCAGUUGAGAACUAUGUUGGGAUUGGGAUUUUGCUGUGUGUGUGUGAGUUUGUGAAUCUGUGCCCUGUAGCUUUGAAAAGUACAGUACGUUUAGAUCAAACGGCAGCCUUUGGAUCAAUAUAAAUUUGGUCAAAACAGAUUCCUAUUUGUUUUUGUUAUUUUGUAUCUUUCAUUCUAAAAAAUCAAAGACAUUUAGAAUCUAUACAAUAACAUCACAAACAACUUUUAAAAUAACUUGUUCCCAUACUAGAAACAAAAUAUACAUUCCUAGUUUCUUUUCAUAAGAGAAAAUGAUGUCAUUUUUCCUCCAAGCAUUAGGAGCAAAAAAGAAUAUUUACAAUAUGAAUCUGGAGACUAAAUCAAUUAUAGGCAAAAAUGUUAUUUUUUCCCUGUUAUUUUAUUGUUUUAAUAAUGUGUUAUAUUCAGAACAUAUUAUUUUCAUUAGUUGAAAGGACAAAAUUAGAAUCAUAUGCAGGCUUUUCUUGGUAAUUCAUUUCAUUUCCUGUUUUCUAUCUUUUUGGUGACUUCUGUAGAAAGACUAUUUUAAAAGUUUCCCCUUUGAAAAUGGCCCAAGGAGCAAAGGAAACUUCUAUUUUAAUGCUCUGUGAGAUGGUGAGAGGAAUGCAUUUCACAAGGCCUAACUACCAUUCCAAAUGGUGACAGGACAAAAAGGAACUGAGUGAGAGAGGAGAGCAGGGACCAAGUCUUUGGGUUGGGGAACGAAGUUUAGCACUCAACUGCUUCAUAAAAAAUGGUGAUGAUGUGUUUUCCAUGUGUCAAAGGCUAGAAGGAGUGAUAGGAAGUCCAGUUGUCUUAACUGGGUCAGAAAAAUAACCUUGACUUCAGAAACUCCCAUGUGAUGAUACGUGUAACUUGUACACACCAGAAAAUAAAAAUGAUCAAACCCUUGGGGGCUCUCAAAAAUAAGAUAGUUCUUUCCCCAGCUUGAAAAAGAACACCUGAGCCAGCCAAAGAAACAGACUUCACCCCUCUGACCCUUCCCUCCCAGCCCCUAACCUUCCCCCACACAGUUCCUGUGCACUGGGACACUUGGCGUUGGCCACACAGGCCAUCGCAAUGAAUAAAACAACUCCAUCCUGGAUCAUUGGAUACCUGUGCCAUGCGUUACAGAAGAUCCUGGGCUUUCCAGGCUAUAGGACUCACCCCUUUCCCCUUACUUCCCUCCAGGAAAAGGAGGAGUCCAGGGGCUGCCUUGAUUUCACAAAGCAGAAACCCUUGGAGAGGUGACCUUCCAUGACCACAUUAUUCAAUACACUAUCUUGUGAGGGCCUGUGGUCUCAUCAAUGUUGUAAGAACCAAGGCCAUUGAUGCCAAGAGGGCUACCAUCUUUGCUAAGAACAGAACAAGGAGAUAUCUCCACCCUCAUCCUUAACCCUCCCCCAGCCCCCCUUAAAAAAGAACUGGAAUACAAUGAAAGGGCACAUGUCAGAAAAUCUGAUUUGGAGAAUAUGUGCUUAAAUUUGAUCUUUCAUGAAAGAAAAUGUUCUGUUUUUCCCAUUAUAAAUGUCUUGGUUCCUGCCAAGCCUCUUCUUAUCCCAAAUGUUUUAGAAGAUCCUGGUACAUUUUGACAGACAUAGGACAGCACCAACACUGAGUUAUAAUUUAAUCCAACAUAGACCCAUCGAGCACAAUUAAACUAAGAAUACUUCCUGAUAUCCCUUCCCCUGCCACUAACAAGAUAGCUUUUGAUACUAAGAAAUGUCUAAAAAAUCUUCCAUUAAAUAAGACACUGUUUCCAUUUGGACUUGGCCACAGGCGCCCUGGGCUGGAAGUGGAAAAUGUGGUCCGUCUUUCUCACGAGGGGGCAGAUUCUCAUGGCCCAGUCCUGGCAGCACCCGUUGGGGCAUCUGGCUAGUGUUAGGGACUCAGAAAAGCCUGACCAUGUUACUUCCCAAGGCCAACUGGUCAUGAAGGACUUUGAGGGCAGAGACCAUCAGUGCCUGCCUCGAGGUGGGUGAUCAAUAACGGUUAGCUGUUAAGAUAAGUGCCUCAGGAUCUGACAUCUCAAGAUCUGAGUGAUCAAAAUGCACUUUAUUGGCUGUAAAAUUACCUAUCCCACCAUGUACUGGCUCAGAAAAGUGUGAGAUCUUGAGUAUUCUUGUAGUAGAGGAGGCUGUUUAAGGCAAGCAAAGCUCUGUUCUUUUUCAAACAUGUCUGUUUUAAACAUACUGUUCUUCUUUUUAUAAUGGCUUCUGUUUCUCCUUGCAUUGCCUUAACCAUUUGAACAGAAGGGCUCCCUUUUGAGGCUUAGUCAGAAGGCUCCCUCUAGCACCCCAGCGUUGUACAGACCUCAGACUGUGUCUCCCACCCCUAAAUCCAUGUCUGGAUCUGAAGUGCCUUUGGGAUCCCUCCAUACCAGCUCAUAAACGUGGCACAGUUUUUACCUCUCUCUCUCUGACACCCAAGGGUGGAAUUAUACUUUUUUCCCCAAAUUCAAUUUUCUUAAUAUUUAGACUUUAGUAUUUUUAUACAUGGGUUGUAGCUAGGGCCAUAUUUAUAUCAGCUCAGAUCCACCUUAUCGGAGAAAGUUCCUUCCAUCUCCUUUACAUUGUGGAAAUAUACUCUGUUACAUUCAGAGACCUAUUAAAAGUAAUGUCUAAUCUUUGAGGAAUGAAUUGCAACAAAAUUAGUGUAGCUUAAAGCAUAACAAUGAGUUUCUAUGAUCACUAUAUAAAUGCUGUUUCUUCAUUCUAGAAUUCAAAAGCUGUUAUACCCCUCCCCUACCAUCACCCACUGAGUACCACUACUUAUAGGAAUAAUUAUAUUUCCUAGAAUCAAAAAAGUUUUAUCGCUGGAAGGGAAACUCAGCUGCCUUCAAGUCCAGGCAGGUAACACAGAUGAGUGAUUCUGGUGAAAGACAACAGGGGGUGGUGUGGACUAUAGUAAAAUGGAGACCUCAAGCCCCACCUAGAGGUAGUUGGGUUUCAUUUUAAAAACUGCUGAGAUCCAGGCUACAUGUAAAUCAGUGAAACUAGAACACUCCCUACACACACACACACACACACACAAUGGAACAUUAUUCAGCCAUCAAAAGAAGGAAAUAUUGUCAUUGAUGGACCUAGAGAGUAUCAUACCAAAUGAAGUAAGUCAGAUAAAGGAAGACAGAGUUCCUAUUGUGGCACAAUGAUUAAUGAAUCCAACUAGGAACCAUGAGGUUGUGGGUUCGAUCCCUGGCCUUGAUCAGAGGGUUAAGGAUCUGGUAUUCCCGUGGGCUGUGGUGUAGGUCGCAGAUGUGGCUCGGAUCCUGCGUGGCUCUGGCGUAGGCCGGAGGCUACAGCUCCAAUUGGACCCCUAGCCUGGGAACCUCCAUAUGCUGCGGGUGUGGCCCUAGAAA
This 5677-nucleotide long non-coding RNA is filed under the name Sus scrofa (pig). RNAcentral describes it as "lncRNA (ENSSSCG00000059163.1)". Lineage: Eukaryota; Metazoa; Chordata; Mammalia; Artiodactyla; Suidae. The record is from RNAcentral.